This 253-nucleotide ribosomal RNA is filed under the name uncultured bacterium. RNAcentral describes it as "partial 16S ribosomal RNA". It matches the Rfam family "Bacterial small subunit ribosomal RNA", at positions 524 to 776 of the family's 1533-position model. The record is from RNAcentral.
UACGUAGGGUGCAAGCGUUGUCCGGAAUUAUUGGGCGUAAAGAGCUCGUAGGCGGUUUGUUGCGUCGGCUGUGAAAUCCCGAGGCUCAACCUCGGGUCUGCAGUCGAUACGAGCAAACUAGAGUGUUGCAGGGGGGACUGGAAUUCCUGGUGUAGCGGUGAAAUGCGCAGAUAUCAGGAGGAACACCGGUGGCGAAGGCGGGUCUCUGGGCAACAACUGACGCUGAGACGCGAAAGCGUGGGGAGCGAACAGG